This 468-nucleotide ribosomal RNA is filed under the name uncultured bacterium. Its description in RNAcentral is "partial 16S ribosomal RNA". It matches the Rfam family "Bacterial small subunit ribosomal RNA", at positions 28 to 507 of the family's 1533-position model. The record is from RNAcentral.
GACGAACGCUGGCGGCGUGCUUAACACAUGCAAGUCGAACGGAAAGGCCCUGCUUUUGUGGUGUGCUCGAGUGGCGAACGGGUGUGUAACACGGGAGUAACCUGCCCUUGACUUUGGGAUAACUUCAGGAAACUGUGUCUAAUACCGGAUAGGAGCGCCGUCUGCAUGGUGGUGGUUGGAUAGUUUCGGCUGUGGGGUAUGGACUCGCGGAUUAUCAGCUUGGUGGUGGGGUAGUGGCUUACAAGGGCUGUGACGGGUAGCCGGCCUGAGAGGGUGACCGGCCACAUUGCGACUGAACUACGGCGCCGCCUCCUACGGGAGGCAGCAGUGGGGAAUAUUGCACGAUGGGAAGCAGGCUGCUGCAGCAACGCCGGGUGCGUGAUGGCGGCCUUCGGGUUGUAAACCGCUUUCGCCUGUGAAGCAGCGUGAGUGACGGUAAUGGGUAAAGAAGCACCGGCUAACUACGUG